UGUCGAAAAAGUUAGUGGGGA
This 21-nucleotide non-coding RNA is filed under the name Caenorhabditis elegans. Lineage: Eukaryota; Metazoa; Nematoda; Chromadorea; Rhabditida; Rhabditidae. The record is from RNAcentral.